RNAcentral lists this ribosomal RNA (253 nucleotides) under uncultured bacterium. RNAcentral describes it as "partial 16S ribosomal RNA". It matches the Rfam family "Bacterial small subunit ribosomal RNA", at positions 524 to 776 of the family's 1533-position model. The record is from RNAcentral.
UACAGAGGGGGCAAGCGUUGUUCGGAAUUACUGGGCGUAAAGGGCGCGUAGGUGGCCUUCUAAGUUGAACGUGAAAUCCCUGGGCUCAACCCAGGAACUGCGUCCAAGACUGGGAGGCUUGAAUCCGGGAGAGGUGAGUGGAACUGCGAGUGUAGAGGUGAAAUUCGUAGAUAUUCGCAAGAACACCAGUGGCGAAGGCGGCUCACUGGCCCGGUACUGACGCUGAGGUGCGAAAGCGUGGGGAGCAAACGGG